GAUGAAGAACGUAGUGAAAUGCGAUAAGUAAUGUGAAUUGCAGAAUUUAGUGAAUCAUCGAAUCUUUGAACGCACAUUGCGCCCCUUGGUAUUCCGGGGGGCAUGCCUGUUCGAGCGUCAUUUCAACCCUCAAGCUCUGCUUGGUCUUGGGCCGCGCCGGCGACGGCGGGCCUCAAAAACAGUGGCGGCGCCAUCUGGUUCCUCAGCGUAGUAAUUCUUCUCGCUGUUGGGCCCGGGUGGCCGCUGGCCAGCAACCCCAAAUUUUCUAUGGUUGACCUCGGAUCAGGUAGGGAUACCCGCUGAACUUAAGCAUAUCAAUAAGCGGAGGA
RNAcentral lists this unclassified non-coding RNA (329 nucleotides) under soil metagenome. RNAcentral describes it as "partial contains 5.8S ribosomal RNA, internal transcribed spacer 2, and large subunit ribosomal RNA". The stretch from base 1 to 120 matches the Rfam family "5.8S ribosomal RNA", at positions 35 to 154 of the family's 154-position model. The record is from RNAcentral.